RNAcentral lists this long non-coding RNA (322 nucleotides) under Androctonus crassicauda. Lineage: Eukaryota; Metazoa; Arthropoda; Arachnida; Scorpiones; Buthidae. The record is from RNAcentral.
AGCAGCUAAAUAUUUCAUCACUGCGAGCAAGUUUUCAAGUUGCCAAGCUAAUAGCGUGCACUGGCAGACCAUUUGUGGAGGGAGAAUUUGUUAAAGAAUGCCUUCUUUCUGUUGCCAAAGAGAUGUGUCCAGAGAAGGCCAAUUUAUUUAGUACAGUUAGUCUUUCAGGACCUACAAUUACAAAGGAUUGAAGAAAUGGGAGACAAUUUGCAUCAGCAUUUGCAAAAUUCCGCAAAAAAACUUUCCUAUUUUUCUUAGUACUCGACAAAAGUAAUGAUGUUCGUGAUUCUGCACAACUCCUAAUUUUUAUUCAUGGGACGAA